CAAUGGGGAAUUUUCCGCAAUUGGGGAAUUUUCCACAAUGGGCGAAAGCCUGACGGAGCAACGCCGCGUGAGGGAGGAAGGUCUUUGGAUUGUAAACCUCUUUUCUCAAGGAAGAAGUUCUGACGGUACUUGAGGAAUCAGCCUCGGCUAACUCCGUGCCAGCAGCCGCGGUAAUACGGGGGAGGCAAGCGUUAUCCGGAAUUAUUGGGCGUAAAGCGUCCGCAGGUGGUCAGCCAAGUCUGCCGUCAAAUCAGGUUGCUUAACGACCUAAAGGCGGUGGAAACUGGCAGACUAGAGAUCAGUAGGGGUAGCAGGAAUUCCCAGUGUAGCGGUGAAAUGCGUAGAGAUUGGGAAGAACAUCGGUGGCGAAAGCGUGCUACUGGGCUGUAUCUGACACUCAGGGACGAAAGCUAGGGGAGCGAAAGGGAUU
RNAcentral lists this ribosomal RNA (430 nucleotides) under uncultured Microcystis sp. RNAcentral describes it as "bacterial SSU rRNA". It matches the Rfam family "Bacterial small subunit ribosomal RNA", at positions 332 to 779 of the family's 1533-position model. The record is from RNAcentral. Lineage: Bacteria; Bacillati; Cyanobacteriota; Cyanophyceae; Chroococcales; Microcystaceae.